Molecule: long non-coding RNA, 411 nt
Filed under: Pongo abelii (Sumatran orangutan)
Lineage: Eukaryota; Metazoa; Chordata; Mammalia; Primates; Hominidae
Description: lincRNA
Source: RNAcentral
CCUGGGUUCCGGCCAUCCUCCCGCCUCAGCCUCCCCAGUAGCUGGGACUACAGGUCUAGCUGGAGUAGAGUGAUGCAGUCAUAGCCCACUGCAGCCUCAAAUUCCUGGGCUCGAGCAAUCCACCCACAUCAGCUUCCCAAGUAGUUGGGACUACAGGCCCACACUACUAUAUCCAGACCAACUGAUAUUCUAGCAUAUAAGAAAUGUGAUGCUCUCUGUAUAUUGAAGAUUUGAUCUAAUAUUUGGCCUGGUGUAUACAGAAAUUUCCUGUCUGCUCGGCUCUGGUUGAAGAAACCAGUCUGACUGUCUUUGAGGCUAUGGAGCAGUCCAUCAAGAAUGAAAGCCCUCGUGCCAGGCACGUUGGCUCACACCUGUAAUAGCAGCACUUUGGGAGGCCGAGGCAGGUGGAUC